RNAcentral lists this long non-coding RNA (950 nucleotides) under Arabidopsis thaliana (thale cress). RNAcentral's name for it is "long non-coding RNA (ATHA_LNC000738)". The record is from RNAcentral. Lineage: Eukaryota; Viridiplantae; Streptophyta; Magnoliopsida; Brassicales; Brassicaceae.
GUUUCCCGUCGAUUACUAAUGCACGGUGGUCAUAAGUCACAUUCGCCGCCGUCGCCGCCACCACAAUCACAAGAAUUAGUAAUAAAAUCAUCUCCAUCUUCCUUACUUUAACCAUUUUCGCUGCAAUUUCCAUAAUCUAAUCUGAUUGAGAGAUCGAUAUGAUCUAUUUAUUAAGAAUAGGCUUGUAGAAACAGUAAAGCAUCCUUUUGCUUCAGUUUCUGAUUCACCUGUUGCUUCACCGUUUUGUGUUACUGCAUUUUAUCACACCUACACAGAUUUUGCAAAUGGAUUGCUUUCGCUUUCUCUUUCGCUUUUGCUAUGAUUUUGUUGAGAAAUGUAUUGCUUUAGUGGUUGGAUUUGGAUUUGAUUACCGCUUUUUAUUUUGGUCAGGCGUAUACGCAUUGCAAUUGCAUCAUCGUCGUCGUCUUCUUGGUCUCGGAUUUAAGAAGAAUGGCGGGGGAGAAGAAGAUUAAGAGAAAGGAUUAGUGUUAAUCAGUUUGAUUAAGUUUUUGUAGAGUGAUGAAGACGCGGGUAUAGUAGUAGCCGAGAGAAGAAGCAAGUUAAUAAAGGAGAGGAGAAGAAGGUGGGUGGAGUUAUCAAGUGUUUCUCAGAGUUAUUUGUUACGGUGGACCUAAUGAUUUUAUUGGUACUUUGGUAGGACAGAAUGAGACACGUGGUGGUUUUAAUGGUAGAGAAAGCUACGUAUAUUGAUGAGACGGUGACAAUGGAUUGGUGGUGGUAACUACGACUUACGAGCUUUGAUUUUGAUUGUAAUUUUGGAGUUAUCGGUCUUGUGGUUUAGCCACAUUCUAAUUUCGAACUCAAAAUAGGCUAAUGUGACUUGAGUACUUGACUAUAUCGACCACAGAACCACUCAACUACGUUGUAAUUUUAAAAGAAAAAUCUCUACAUGAUUUUUCUACAGUACUUCAUGAUUUUAUCACAUCUCA